RNAcentral lists this ribosomal RNA (723 nucleotides) under Bacillus sp. (in: firmicutes). RNAcentral's name for it is "bacterial SSU rRNA". It matches the Rfam family "Bacterial small subunit ribosomal RNA", at positions 56 to 762 of the family's 1533-position model. The record is from RNAcentral. Lineage: Bacteria; Bacillati; Bacillota; Bacilli; Caryophanales; Bacillaceae. RNAcentral also lists the same sequence under 1 other name.
UGCAAGUCGAGCGGACAGAAGGGAGCUUGCUCCCGGAUGUUAGCGGCGGACGGGUGAGUAACACGUGGGUAACCUGCCUGUAAGACUGGGAUAACUCCGGGAAACCGGAGCUAAUACCGGAUAGUUCCUUGAACCGCAUGGUUCAAGGAUGAAAGACGGUUUCGGCUGUCACUUACAGAUGGACCCGCGGCGCAUUAGCUAGUUGGUGAGGUAACGGCUCACCAAGGCGACGAUGCGUAGCCGACCUGAGAGGGUGAUCGGCCACACUGGGACUGAGACACGGCCCAGACUCCUACGGGAGGCAGCAGUAGGGAAUCUUCCGCAAUGGACGAAAGUCUGACGGAGCAACGCCGCGUGAGUGAUGAAGGUUUUCGGAUCGUAAAGCUCUGUUGUUAGGGAAGAACAAGUGCAAGAGUAACUGCUUGCACCUUGACGGUACCUAACCAGAAAGCCACGGCUAACUACGUGCCAGCAGCCGCGGUAAUACGUAGGUGGCAAGCGUUGUCCGGAAUUAUUGGGCGUAAAGGGCUCGCAGGCGGUUUCUUAAGUCUGAUGUGAAAGCCCCCGGCUCAACCGGGGAGGGUCAUUGGAAACUGGGAAACUUGAGUGCAGAAGAGGAGAGUGGAAUUCCACGUGUAGCGGUGAAAUGCGUAGAGAUGUGGAGGAACACCAGUGGCGAAGGCGACUCUCUGGUCUGUAACUGACGCUGAGGAGCGAAAGCGU